This is a long non-coding RNA of Suricata suricatta (meerkat), 880 nucleotides long. RefSeq lists it as uncharacterized. The record is from RefSeq and is a predicted model, not a curated record. The transcript is spliced from 4 exons. Lineage: Eukaryota; Metazoa; Chordata; Mammalia; Carnivora; Herpestidae.
GGGGGUUUGAUGCCUUCCCCCCACUGCAAGGGGACCAGGGACGCUUCCGGUGCGUCACUUCCGCCUGGGAUGCGGGGCGGGACGCCGGAGGGGCGGAGCUUACGCCGGGGUGGCCGGAGGGAGCUGUAGGCGUCGCGUCCCGAGUGGGCGACCAGAAGCCACCCAGGGCCGGAGCGCUAGGGAGCCUGCCGGUUAAAGUGCCGUCCGCCGGAGUGCGUUUUCUGGCGCGCCCCCUGACGCGGGACGGUGGCCACAGUGUCGCCUGGGUGCAGGUUCAGCACCUGGAUUUUCUUCGUCCACCCAGUGACAGGCUCAUGAGCAUUACAAUCUCAGCAGGAAGAUUUGUGAGAGGAGUUUCCCAUGCAGUGACCAGAACGCCUGGGUCUACAAUCCACAUGGAACGCAGACGAGUAAACAGUAGUGCUCCGGUAAAAGGAGAUGAGCUGGACAUAUGGAACUUCCCAGAAGUUGUACAAACUCCUGCACUGACGGUGCACCUUCUUCAGCCACGGAAGGAGGAGGGAUCUUUGGAAGGAAAAGUGGGCUGGGACGCCACUCUGGAGCAUGGCCUCCACCAUGAAGAAGCCUGACCUCAGAGGCUGCUUCGGGUGCCCUGCCAUGUUGCGGGCCUAGGUGAAAGGUAAGACAAGAUCUCACAUCUUUCCACCCAGGGAAGUGGUUCGUUGGCUCUAGAAGAUUGUGAACAGCCAGGUGCUGGGGACAUCUGCUGGGCAGGAUCCCACGGGGCCAGGGCUUGGGAGGUGAUGUGACCACCACAGGCAAAGCCACCAAUAGGCCCGUGUGGGUGUUUGAUGUUUUAGGGGCCGGUGGUACCAUCCGGGGCUUGUGUUGUUCCCCCCAUCCCUUUACACAAAUAACA